AAAAAGCUUUUCGGCUUUUAUUUGCCGCUUAUUUUUACCUUAAAUGUAAAUUUUUGUUUGAAAUAGGAUAAUUUUUAGAUAAUUUUAUUUAAGUUUAAAAGUCGCAGUAAAUAGAUUUAUUUAUUUAGUUAAUUAAGAAAUAGUAAUAAAUUUUAGUACAGACAAAAUUUGUGCCAGCAGUAGCGGUUACACAGAUUGUACAACGGCAAAUUUUUGGAUUGAGUAAAUAUUCAAUAUUUCGAGAAUUUAUAAAAUAAUUUAUUAAGUGAAAUUUUAAAUUUUUAUAAUUUUUUUCUUUGUUUAUGAGGCUAAUAAAUUUUCUUUAAGACUAGGAUUAGAUACCCUAUUAUAAAAAAUUUAAGUUUAAAUUCCAGAUUAGUAGUAGUUAUGUUCUUGAAAAUUAAGAAAAUUGGCGGUAUUUUAGUCUAUUCAGAGGAACCUGUCCUGUAAUUGAUAGUCCACGAUUUAAUCUACUUGUCUUUUUAAUUUACAUAUCGCCGUAGGUUGAAUAUUUCUAUAGAAUUCAAAAUGUUCAAGAUUUUUAAUAAAAGGAAAUCAGGUCAAGGUGUAGUUUAUAGAUAAGAAGAGAUGGGUUACAAUAAAAUUAUUUAGACGGAAAAGUUUUUUUAAAAAAUUUUAAAGGUGGAUUUGAAAGUAAUUUAAAAUAAUUUUUUUAGAUGAUUUUAGCUCUAAAAUAUGCACAUAUCGCCCGUCGCUUUCAUUUAAAAUGAAAUAAGUCGUAACACAGUAGGGGUACUGGAAAGUGUUCCUAGAAAGUU
Molecule: non-coding RNA, 779 nt
Filed under: Elaeidobius kamerunicus
Lineage: Eukaryota; Metazoa; Arthropoda; Insecta; Coleoptera; Curculionidae
Source: RNAcentral